Molecule: ribosomal RNA, 445 nt
Filed under: uncultured bacterium
Lineage: Bacteria
Description: partial 16S ribosomal RNA
Rfam family: Bacterial small subunit ribosomal RNA
Source: RNAcentral
GUGAGGAAUAUUGGUCAAUGGGCGAGAGCCUGAACCAGCCAAGUCGCGUGAAGGAAGACUGCCCUACGGGUUGUAAACUUCUUUUGCAAUGGAAUAAAAAGAGUUACGUGUAAUUCAUUGUAUGUACAUUGCGAAUAAGGAUCGGCUAACUCCGUGCCAGCAGCCGCGGUAAUACGGAGGAUCCGAGCGUUAUCCGGAUUUAUUGGGUUUAAAGGGUGCGUAGGCGGAUUGGAAAGUCAGCGGUGAAAGUUUGCAGCUUAACUGUAAAAUUGCCAUUGAAACUGUCAGUCUUGAGUGCAAAUGAGGUAGGCGGAAUGUGUUGUGUAGCGGUGAAAUGCAUAGAUAUAACACAGAACACCAAUUGCGAAGGCAGCUUACUGGGAUGCAACUGACGCUGAGGCACGAAAGCGUGGGGAUCAAACAGGAUUAGAUACCCGAGUAGUCC